UUGGUCAAUGGACGCAAGUCUGAACCAGCCAUGACGCGUGAAGGAUUAAGGCCCUCUGGGUUGUAAACUUCUUUUAUAGGGGAAGAAAUGUGACGGUUCUCCGUCACUUAACGGUACCCUGGGAAUAAGCACCGGCUAACUCCGUGCCAGCAGCCGCGGUAAUACGGAGGGUGCAAGCGUUAUCCGGAUUCACUGGGUUUAAAGGGUGCGUAGGUGGGCAGAUAAGUCAGUGGUGAAAUCUUCCGGCUUAACUGGGAAACUGCCGUCGNUACUAUUUGUCUUGAAUAUGGCGGAGGUAAGCGGAAUAUGUCAUGUAGCGGUGAAAUGCUUAGAUAUGACAUAGAACACCAAUUGCGAAGGCAGCUUACUACACAAUCAUUGACACUGAGGCACGAAAGCGUGGGUAGCGAACA
RNAcentral lists this ribosomal RNA (413 nucleotides) under uncultured bacterium. RNAcentral describes it as "bacterial SSU rRNA". It matches the Rfam family "Bacterial small subunit ribosomal RNA", at positions 364 to 774 of the family's 1533-position model. The record is from RNAcentral.